AUUGAACGCUGGCGGCAGGCCUAACACAUGCAAGUCGAACGAGUGGCGGACGGGUGAGUAAUGUCUGGGAAACUGCCUGAUGGAGGGGGAUAACUACUGGAAACGGUAGCUAAUACCGCAUACCAUCAGAUGUGCCCAGAUGGGAGUAGCUAGGUGGUGGGGUAACGGCUCACCAAGUCGACGAUCCCGAGCUGGUCUGAGAUGAUGACCAUCCACACUGGACCUGAGACACGUUCCAGACUCGUACGGGAGGCAUCAGUGGGGAAUAUUGCACAAUGGGCGCAAGCCUGAUGCAGCCAUGCCGCGUGUAUGAAGAAGGCUAUCGGGUUGUAAAGUACUUUCAUCGGGGAGGCGUUACCCGCAGAAGAAGCACCGGCUAACUCCGUGCCAGCAGCCGCGGUAAUUC
Molecule: ribosomal RNA, 406 nt
Filed under: uncultured bacterium
Lineage: Bacteria
Description: partial 16S ribosomal RNA
Rfam family: Bacterial small subunit ribosomal RNA
Source: RNAcentral